Molecule: long non-coding RNA, 42182 nt
Filed under: Triticum aestivum (bread wheat)
Lineage: Eukaryota; Viridiplantae; Streptophyta; Magnoliopsida; Poales; Poaceae
Description: long non-coding RNA (TAES_LNC020556)
Source: RNAcentral
GUGGACAGUGGUAUCCCCAACCCACCAGGGUUCAAAUCCUGGUGCUCGCAUUAUUCCUGGAUUUAUUUCAGGAUUUCCGGCGAUGCACUUUCAGUGGGAGGAGACGUUCCCGUUGACGACGAGGCGCCUACGGUGACUUCGUAAAUCUCAAGAUGAUAUGCCGGCUCAGUCUCUCGGAGGUGCUCAUAGGGGUAGGGUGUGCGUGUGUGCGUUCAUAGGGAUGAGUGUAUGCGCGUGUAUAUGAGCGCUUAUGUCUGUACUGAUGCUCAAAAAAAAACUUAGUACAUGCCCAUGUUUUACUUUUUCGCCCGGUGCAACGCAGAGGUAUUUGUACGUGCAACAAAUUUACUGAUAUUCAAUGGACUCCGUUUAAUUUGAAGAGUAUCUGUAUAUUUCUGUCUUGCUAAUCAAAACAUGUACUGGAUUGUUUAGUAGUUCGGCAGAUGGGUGACUAGAACAAAGUAUUGCAGCAUAUCAUCUUAAAAUUGUAUUUUGUUAGAACACACUACAAGUAACCCAAAGAUCUAAACAUAUAUUUGUAUAGUUGGUAAUCAUGUAGAUCUUGUAGGUAUGCUAGGUGAAUACUAAGUGCUUGCAAGAGUGGAUGUAUUAGUACAGAUCUUUCACACAUGUAGUUUUUGGAGGCACAACUUUUACAUGCCCCUCAUCCUAAUUUAAAAGUAGUUUCUACUGUUCAUUUAUUUCUGAUGUGCCUCAUGAAAUAUUUUGUUGUCCACAUGGGAAGAUGAAAGACCACAAAUCCCAUUUUUAAAGGUAAAUAUCGACGAUCUUAUUUCUGAUGUUUGCGAAACAUGGAUUAAAAAAGUGUUGUAUAAUGGCACAUGGAGCGGGUUUUAAUUUUUCGCCCGAUGCAACGCACGGGCAUUUGUACUAGUAAUAAUAAUAAUAUAUAAUAUAUAUAUAUAUAUAAGGUUUCUGUCGUCCGUCAAAACAAAUACCCUUAAAGUUGCUAUAAAUUACCCGCUAUGCCACUCAUAAGUCAAGAAAACGAUUCGUUUUUUUUUUCAAAGUCAUCGUCGCGCAUAGUCUUUUAUAAAGGUAAUAUCCCACAUAUGACAUGGACGCUAUAGCAGCUCAGUGGUUGAAUCCUAUCUCCUCUACCGCGCAGACCCGGGUUCGAUCCCUAGGGUCCUCCUAUUUUCCUCCACCUUUUUCUCACACACGUCCUCCCUCCUACAUACGCGUUCAUGGCCGGCCCGUGGGACGUGAUGCCCCUAUUUUUUUUCUUUUCUCAUUUCUGUUUUUGUUUUUUCUUCUUUAAAUUAAUUCAAGAUUUUCAAAUUACAAAAGGUUGCAACUUUUGAGAAAAAUAUUCGAGAAAUCAUAGAAUGUUUAUGAAUUCAAAAAAUGUGCGAGAAAUCAUAAAUUUUCUGCAGUUUCAAUUCUUUUGGUGAUUUACAAAACUAUUCGCAAAUUAUAAAAAAAUCACAAUUUUUCAAAAUUUGUUCCCCAAUUAUAAAAAAAGUUCAUUGAUACAAAAAGGUUUGCUAACUCAAAAAUUGUUCAUGAAUUCAAAAACUAUGCGUGCAUUUCAAAAAAUGUUCGUCUGAACAAAACAAAUGUUCAUGAAUUCGAAAACUACUCAUGCAUUUCAAAAAAUGUUCGUCUUAACAAAACAAAUGUUAAUGCAUUUAAAAACUGCCCAAAAUUUUAAAACAAAUGUUUGUCGAUUAGAAAAAAUGUUCGUCGAUUCAAAAGUUUUUCAUGUCUUGGAUUUGGGUAGUUUUUGGAAAGUCCUUUUAUGUCUAGGCGCUAGGAGUAGUUUUUCUCACACACGUCCUCUCUCCCACAUACGCGUUCAUGGCCAGCCCGUGGGGCGUGACGCCCCUAUUUUUUCUUUUCUUUUCUCAUUUCUGUUUCUGUUUUUUCUUCUUUAAAUUAAUUCAAGAUUUUCAAAUUACAAAAGGUUGCAACUUUUGAGAAAAAUAUUCAAGAAAUCAUAGAAUGUUUAUGAAUUCAAAAAAUGUGCGAGAAAUCAUAAAUUUUCUGCAGUUUUAAUUCUUUUGGUGAUUUACAAAACUAUUCGCAAAUUAUAAAAAAAUCACAAUUUUUCAAAAUUUGUUCCCCAAUUAUAAAAAAAGUUCAUUGAUACAAAAAGGUUUGCUAACUCAAAAAUUGUUCAUGAAUUCAAAAACUAUGCGUGCAUUUCAAAAAAUGUUCGUCUGAACAAAACAAAUGUUCAUGAAUUCGAAAACUACUCAUGCAUUUCAAAAAAUGUUCGUCUUAACAAAACAAAUGUUAAUGCAUUUAAAAACUGCCCAAAAUUUUAAAACAAAUGUUUGUCGAUUAGAAAAAAUGUUCGUCGAUUCAAAAGUCUUUCAUAUCUUGGAUUUGGGUAGUUUUUGGAAAGUCCUUUUAUGUCUAGGCGAUAGGAGUAGUUUUUCUCACACACGUCCUCUCUCCCACAUACGCGUUCAUGGCCAGCCCGUGGGGCGUGACGCCCCUAUUUUUUCUUUUCUUUUCUCAUUUCUGUUUUUGUUUUUUCUUCUUUAAAUUAAUUCAAGAUUUUCAAAUUACAAAAGGUUGCAACUUUUGAGAAAAAUAUUCGACAAAUCAUAGAAUGUUUAUGAAUUCAAAAAAUGUGCGAGAAAUCAUAAAUUUUCUGCAGUUUUAAUUCUUUUGGUGAUUUACAAAACUAUUCGCAAAUUAUAAAAAAAUCACAAUUUUUCAAAAUUUGUUCCCCAAUUAUAAAAAAAGUUCAUUGAUACAAAAAGGUUUGCUAACUCAAAAAUUGUUCAUGAAUUCAAAAACUAUGCAUGCAUUUCAAAAAAUGUUCGUCUGAACAAAACAAAUGUUCAUGAAUUCGAAAACUACUCAUGCAUUUCAAAAAAUGUUCGUCUUAACAAAACAAAUGUUAAUGCAUUUAAAAACUGCCCAAAAUUUUAAAACAAAUGUUUGUCGAUUAGAAAAAUGUUCGUCGAUUAGAAAAAAUGUUCGUCGAUUAAAAAGUCUUUCAUGUCUUGGAUUUGGGUAGUUUUUGGAAAGUCCUUUUAUGUCUAGGCGCUAGGAGUAGUUUUUCUCACACACGUCCUCCCUCCCACAUACGCGUUCAUGCCCGGCCCGUGGGGCGUGAUGCCCCUAUUUUUUUUCUUUUCUUUUCUCAUUUCUGUUUUUGUUUUUUCUUCUUUAAAUUAAUUCAAGAUUUUCAAAUUACAAAAGGUUGCAACUUUUGAGAAAAAUAUUCGACAAAUCAUAGCAUGUUUAUGAAUUCAAAAAAUGUGCGAGAAAUCAUAAAUUUUCUGCAGUUUUAAUUCUUUUGGUGAUUUACAAAACUAUUUGCAAAUUAUAAAAAAAUCACAUUUUUUCAAAAUUUGUUCCCCAAUUAUAAAAAAAAUUCAUUGAUACAAAAAGGUUUGCUAACUCAAAAAUUGUUCAUGAAUUCAAAAACUAUGCAUGCAUUUCAAAAAAUGUUUGUCUGAACAAAACAAAUGUUCAUGAAUUCGAAAACUACUCAUGCAUUUCAAAAAAUGUUCGUCUUAACAAAACAAAUGUUAAUGCAUUUAAAAACUGCCCAAAAUUUUAAAACAAAUGUUUGUCGAUUAGAAAAAAUGUUCGUCGAUUCAAAAGUCUUUCAUGUCUUGGAUUGGGUAGUUUUUGGAAAGUCCUUUUAUGUCUAGGCGCUAGGAGUAGUUUGUGGUCCAUGAAAUUUGUUUUUAAAGUUUUAAACAUUCUCUUGCGCGGCACAAUGACAAGUGUGCCAUGCAGUGGCAAGCUCGUUGCCUUGGGAUUUACCACGUCGAAUGCAUUGCGAUCACAUGGACAUCGCGUACAUCAUCAACGAGGGUGGAAAGAAAGAUAAGUGGAAACAUGGUGAGCUACCGUGUGAAAAUAGAGGACGCUCAUAAUUUGGGGUAUUGAGUCAUACUUAUUUGGCUCGCGUGUAACUAUUUUGUCUCCCGUUGCAACGCACGGGCAUGUUUGCUAGUAAUAAUAAUAAAGCACGGAUUGGGUCUCCGAGUUCACCGUCGCGGCGUAUUUGCAGAAAAAUCCCUAUAAAAUUAAGUAAUUAACCCGCAGUCCAGUAUAAAUAAUAAUGAAAAAAACGUUUCGUAUUUCUCGCCUACCCGUGCACGCGAUCGAUAGAAAAAAAACCAUCCCCAAUUCGAGCGCCCGCGCCUCCCACCAAUGGAUCCGCGGCCUCCCCGCCGCCGGCAUGCCAUCCUCCGCCACGCCGUCCUCCCCGCACCCUGGCCUGCCUCCUCUCCGCUGCGCCCUCCUCCCCGCGCCGUCCGAGACUCCGAGUCCUCCGGGCGCGGUUCGCCGACGCCGAGGACUAGGCCGCCGUUCUCCGGGCAUGCGCAGGCCGGCUCGAGCGCGCGCCGCCGAACGCAACCAGCUGCUCAACACGCUCCUCGCCGCUGCGGGAAACGGCCGGGAGGAGGAGGAUGCGCGGGAGGCGGGGCAGCGUCAGAAUCAACGUGCUUCGGAUCCGGCCGAGGCUUACGGCGACACGGACGCGGAGGGUCUGGCCGCGGCCGCCGCGCUCCCUCCGGUCACUACCUUCCCAUGAGCUCACUUCCACCCUAGCCUCUCCCCCUUUCCUCUUUGUUGUUUUAACUGAUUCCCAACUGCUUGAUCAAUCCCGCUCCUCUGCUCCUGCAUGAUGGCUUUCUCUGUUCGAUUGCUUAAUUUGGUUGUGUCUUACCUGAACUGCAAGGGAACCAACAUACAUGGCAUGAUGGAUGGAGACCAGUAUAUGUUUUUUGUUCUGUUCACAUUCUUUCUAAUAGUUUCCAUCGGAUUAUAGGCAUGUGCUUUGAGCAAUAGGCAUAAAUCUGUUGUAAUCAAUCAAAGACAGUGAGAACGUUUACUGAAAUCUUUCGAAGUGGGGAUCCUAUGAAUUUCUUUGAUUGAACGUCCAUCGAUGAUCUCAUCUUAUAGUAACUCACUUUGAAACAUUGUAUUGGUAGUUUUUAUCUUUACACUUUUGCCGUCUAUACAUACUGGAUUGCAUUGUUUAGGACAUGACACAGCGCUGCAAACAGCUCAUGAGAGCAGUUAGCAAAUGCAAAUCAUUGUAUAUGUCACUUAUGCUGAUCUUAAUAGAAAAUAGUACUAUUUUGGGGAAGGGCAUCUGGCUGACUUUCAAUAUAACUCUUCAGGUUUUGUUUGGUGAGAUUCUCUUCAGAAAACAAGAUUUGUAUUGGUGGUAGAUCGACAGCAACUGACAAGGACUACCACGAUUAGAGCUACUCUUUUGGCACCCAUGUUUCAGUAUGCAGUCAAGCAGGCAACAAGGUAAUCAUUGCCAUCAUGUAGUUUGCGGGUAGUGCAUGGGCCUAUUUAAUUAGUUUUUUCGCACGAUGGCUCAUGGUGUUGGUUGAUAAAUAUGUGUGUGUGCAUGGAACAACUAAUUGAUCAGAACUAACAACAUCACUAAAUCCAAAAAUUCUAAUACAAAUAAAGAAGGAAAACAAAUGAGCUUCAUACGACUGAUGCAUGACAAAGUUCUCAUAUUUACAUGCCUGAGUACAGUAUGUCCUAUACCCAAUAUUUGUAUAGUUCAAUGCUAAGUUAGUCAAUAUACAUUUUAGGCCAAAAUGUUUGGAAAUCCCAAGUUCAAUCUACUGUUUUUAUAAAUAAAUUAAUGAUGAUUAAUUAAAGACAUAUAUAUAAUAAAUUUAAGGUAUUUAUCCAAAAUUUGCCAUGAAAAGUUCAACCAUUAGCUGCGUGGUUCUCUAUAGUGACCCCCUUAACAGAAACAAGAAAGGGAAGCACUUCUUCAGCGCUGAAUUAAAUACACAUGAGUUAUCUUUUUGUUGAUAAUCUUUAGUGUAAACACUUAUCUUUUUCUUGAUUGCCAGAUUUUAUGCACAUUUCUCAUGAUAUAUAUAUAUAUGGGAGUACAGGGAUCUGUGGGACGAGGCCAAGGUGUACGUGCGCAACCUUCCCUACGACGUUAGCAGCGAGCGCCUCGUGCAGCUCUUCGAGCAGGACGGCGUCAUCGAGGUCACCGUGGUGAGCAUGCUCUUCCUAUUAGACCAUCUUCAGCGCUGAAUGAUAGCAUGAGGUGAUAUGAUUUGUUUCACAGUCGAUAUGUGGUAUCGGUGACAGAAGGUGCAUCACACGCUUGGGUAUUUUCUUCCGCACGAGGUAAAGUACCAAAGGUGUUUUCAAUAUGUAAUUAGCACCCAUACUUAGCAUCAAGCUUUGAUAGAGGGGAUGCUUAGAUGAUUUUUGAUUCUACGGUAUUUAUUUUCUCUAUCCCUGAGCAUCUACACAGGCAACCCGCAUUAUAGAUGAUAUUAGCCUGCUGCCAGUGUCGUUCCUCUAGAUACACACACACACACGCAUUUUGCCUGGUGAAGGGAAUGCCUCAAAUCAUCGGACCCCUGAUUAUGCGUCAUGUUCGUGCAAGACUGAAACUGACACAAUAGGUUCUAGAUGUAAAUGAUGUCUGCUUUAAUGUGGUGGUUGUGUUGUUGAAGCUCAUAUGGAGUGUUUAUGCAUAACUGAAGUGGCACAUUUAGUUCUGGAAUAUCCAACAGCCUCCAAAUCUUCUGAAAGCAAAGAGCUGGAGAACCAUCCUCUAGGCUCUCCUGUACCCCCACAGAUUAUUUUUCUUCCAAAACUAUUGAUAAACGCAGCAAGUUUUAAUUGCAAUUCCACAUCCAAAUGUUGUUAUUCAGGUUGUCAUCAACUCAUCAUACUAUAUCAGCUUCAAUGCUAAUUUUUUCUCUCAAGUAGUCCAUAAAUAUGUGAACCUGAACACUCAAAACUACUGCAGGGGUAGGAUUUCGGCAGUAUCCCUUGGCUGGUUAAUCUGUUUGGACUAGAAUUUUCUGAAUUGUAGUAAAGCUUGGCAACUACAGAAUACAUUGUCUUGAGGUAUAAUAGCACUUGAUUCUCUAACAAUCGUUGAUUCAUGAAUUGCAGCAGGCCCCUCCUGUGAAUCCCAUUGCUUACAAUUAUUUCAUGAUUGAGAUCUUGGAUUUAACAUUUAGUAUUUUCUUGUGUUACUUUUCUUUCUUUUGGAGGAGAACAAGGAACGGAGGGAGUAGAUGUUUUUUAAGGAUGUCACAUUUAACCUCCCACAAAUAGCGCAGCAACAAGGAACAAAAAAAAAGCUGGGACAAAAAAAAUAGACCACAAACAUAGUGGACAUCAGGUUAGAUGUGACAUAACUAUGUCACAUCUAGAUGUAUCCUAGACACACCCAUUUGGUUUGGGUCUCUCUGUCAUUGAUACGUUCAUUCAUGCAAUCCGAAUUAUGUAGAGAUAACUUCACACCCCUACUGUUAGACCUUUGGCAUCACACUGGUUAGUUUGGUUCUAUUAAACCAAAGUACAGUAGGAAAACCUUGCCGAGAUUUUUGAAAUUGCAUACUGAAUUCAGAUCACGUUAGUUUUAUUUUUUCAGUUUGGUUGUGUAUACAAUACUGCUAAUAGAUUCGGUCAGGAUAGUUUCGCUGUUUCAUGACUUGGUGAGCUCGAGGCAGGGGCACUGAUUGUCUGUUCAAUGCACUUUUGUUUCUGUGUUCAGUUUUGAGAAUGCCAAAGUGGUCACUGCGGUGGAUUGUAUUAUGUCACUGGUAUGUGAUAAGAAUUGGGAACAUUAUUCUUUUGCCACCCAGGAUUCGGAGCUCCGUGAAAAGCUAUGGGAGGUAUGAAGAUUUGUUAGCAUUCUGCUUUUACCAUUUUGUCACCUGAAUUUGAUUUGUGAAAGAAUUUUCUCAGGGAUAUUAAUACAAUUAACAUAUUAAUACAAUUAGCAAGCACCAUAUUAUCUAAAAAAGGGCAGCCCGGUGCAUGUAGCACCAUAUUAUCUACUUAACAUAAAUGACAUAGCAGAAUGAGCUCAUGUAUGUUUUGCUUCCUCGCAGGUUCCUGGUGUUCCUGUGAUAUAUGGUCUGAAGAACUCCUUGUUCAUUGAGCAACCAUUCGUUCAGCAAAGUCAGUUUGCUCAGUUGGAUGAGAAGUGCAACUUAUUGAAAAAUCCGAAUUUAAGAAGCUACCCAUGACUCAGGACGUCACCCGAAGGAAAGACAUCUGUUGAUGGAAACAGACAUGAUGUGGCAUAGAAAAACAAGUUUAGAAGGAACAGAGCAAAGGUUAGUAUCUCCCUCCAUUCCUAAAUAGAAGACCUUUUAGAAAUUUCAAUAUUGAACUACAUACAUAGCAAAAUGAUAUAUACUCCCUCCGUUCCAAAAUAGAUGAUUCAACUUUAUACUAAAGUUAGUACAAAAUUAGUAUAGAGCUGGGUCAUCUAUUUUAGAACGGAGGGAGUAUAUCUGUAUAUAGUCCAUAGUGCAAUCUCUAAAAGGUCUUAUAUUUAGGAACGGAGGGAGUAUACAACUACUGUUUUCCAAGAUACUCCAUGGUUAUGAUCUAGAGUAGUGGGUGUAGUCAAUAUUUUGAGAUCAUGCAUCUCUCUCGCAAGAAAAAUAAAGCCAAGCCCGACCACCACCAGCUCAAAAUCAGUUAAUCAAUCAUGGCUACACAACAUAAUAAGUGUAAAUGCUUGGAACACUUUCACUGUAGGAUCUCUUUCAAUGUUGUAAAAGCAAGCUUGGAAUUGCAUAACAUCUUGAGGUUUAUAACGAAGGGUAAGGUGGACCAGAAAUGAUGUGACAACUGAAUCUUUAGCUUCAGAAGAAAGACAAACUAGGUGGGUUGAAUGUGCACAUAAUAUACAACCGAAAAUGGGCCGAAGGGGAUCUUGGGAGGAGCAGGAUCUCCUGGACAUUGAAUGAUACUUUAUUUUACCUUCGAAUGUUGUUAAUUAAAAUGUGAUGUUUACAUUCGGAGGUUGUUGUUUUUUAGCCUAAUUAAGAAGUUGCAUCGGCACUAAAGAACAUCAAUUUACAUCUAAGAGAACUCAAAAAUUGUGGAGGUAUAUGGUAUAUUAUGAUUAUGUUUUCAAGGAGAAUAUUGGGUGAGGAUAUGAGUUUUCUCCAUGGGGAAGUACGGUCUCCCGUUGCAACGCACGGGCCCUUUUGCUAGUCUCUCCCUAAUAAUAAAGCACGGAUUGGGUCUCCGGGUUCACCGUCACAAUACGCUUUCUUCUCAUAUCAUAAUACGCUUUUACAAUUUGUAUGGAAAAAAUUGUAAUAUACACGAGGUGGUACUAAUGAAAUCAAGUCGUAUGCGUCGAACGAUCGCACCGGCUCCCUUCCCUGCUGGGCUUGCCUGGACCCGUUUUUCUACUUGCAACGAAUCAGCGGCUGGACUAUCAAAAAAUAAAACUAUCAGAGACUCAAAUUCGGAAACGAUUGGUUUUUCCUUCAUACUACGGUGUUUUGACUGUGACCCAGUCGAGCUCCACAUCCCUCGCCGCUUCCUCAACUUAUCUCAACUGCCAGCGCGCCGGAGGAUGAGCAGAAGACGGAGUCGUUGCGGGCCGGCGAGCAGGUACUUAUCUCAACUUCCAGCGCGCCGCCACCACCUGCCGCUCCGCUGCGUGCCGCCACCACCGCCUCGCGCGCCGUCCUGGUCGCCGCCGCCGGCCUUGCGUCGCCUCAACGCCCGACCCCCGAGUCUCGCAGGCCCGCCACACACCUACUCUCUUCCAACAAUUCCGUGCAUCCCGGCUCGAUUACUUCAGGGAGGAGGAGGAUGACGACGAGGCAGACUUACAUGUUGAUUCAUCAUUUGUAGACUUUUGGUUACAACGGAUAGAUAUGAGCAGUUUAGCACUAUUCUUGCUUAUAUAUCAAAAAAUAUUAUGAUCAGCAGGCUAAAUCUACCACACGGGUCGUUAGCUCUGUUACCGUAACAUUGCACCAUCCUAACACGCGAGGAAAAUAAUUUCACAAGAUUCUCAUAUUAAGUAUCUAUUCAAAGAGGUAUGUAACAAUGUGCGGGAAGGAGAAAUUCACUCGGUAACAACACCGAUGCUACGGCUUGCAUGCUGAGAGUUGAGACCUGGUGAGCUUACUCGUACUAUUGUGUGAUGUGUUAACUUACUUUUGUAGUUUCUAUAUGCCAACAUAUAUCAUGCUGUUUUAUGGUUAGUAGUAUUUCAACAUAAUUUUUCUAUUCAUGCAUUGAAGCAAAACUGCAGUUAGUUGCUACAGAGCUAGGAGAUCUUGGUGUAUAAUAAAAUAUAUUAAUAUGGAGGGGUUCCUUUGUCACCUGAUUUGAUAAGGUAUAUAGUACGGAAGUUUUUUUAUUUCAUAAUCAUAUUCUUGAUGUACUGUUUAACGUAUUUUCUUUUCAGAGAUUUGCCCUUCAAAUUUUCUUGUGAUAGCUAAUUGCCUUUCUGUAAAACUCUUUGUGCGGAUUAGUUGAUAUGAUCAAUGGUCAAACUGUUUGAGUUUCAAAAUCAUUUUAACAUUUCAAAUUUGGGGGUUGUAUAUAUACAACCGGAUAUCAUGUGUAUCAUGCAUAGCGAUCUACUUUGUUCUGUCUGUUAGCAUUAAUUAAUGUCUACUUCUUGAUUAUAUUUGAUAUACUUCAGAUAGUGAGCAUGAUUGUGGGGAUGGUGUGUAUGAGGAUUUUUUCCCCUUCUCCCAUUGGAACACGCAGGUAUAUUUGGGUUUAUAAUAUGGGUUGUUGCCCCAGUUGCUUUUGCUUGGCGAUAAUGGCAAUGCAGUUAUCACCAUGUUUGCACCGUUCUUCACAUGCACAUCCCUAGGCUCCUUAUGUUACUGUUCACCAUCACUGUUGAUUAUUUCUCCUUCUAUUCUGUUAUCCAAUAGGUAUUCUCUUACUACAUAUAAAUUUGGAGGACAAAGCAUUUAUUCUGUUGAUAUAUUAAACCCAAAUUGCUGACAUUUAUUCUGUUGAUAUAUUAAACCCCAAAUUGCUGACAUGUAACGUCUUCUAUCUGAAUUUGUUUCAUAAAAUUAAUCAUUGGUUUAGUUUGAUAGAUUAAACCCAAAUUAGUUUAUGGACUGAACUAGAAAUAACACAAUCACAUAUUAGUUUUCUUUUUAAAUUUCAUAGUAGAGAUUUAGCCGUCGAUGACCCACUACACGUGGAUGCCACAUCCUUUCUUCCUCACCUAUCGCGCGAAUUUUCAAUGCCGGUCCACUGCGAUCAGGGUGCUGGAGGCUCUUGGGCUUGCAGCUCGCAUGCUUGGAGGUAAGUUUUGUAGCCUCCCGUUGCAACGCACGGGCAUUUGUGCUAGUAAUAAUAAAGCACGGAUUGAGUCUCCGGAUUCACCGUCACGGUAGUUUUACAUUAAAGCCCUUGUGUUUUUCGUCCGCCGCGCCGUCCUCCCCGCACCUCGAGCGACCGCGUCUCCCACCCCCGUUUGGAUCCGCCGCCAUCCCGCAUCCUCCGCCGAGCCGUGCCGCCAUCAUCACCGCACCCGGCCUUUCUCCUCUCCGCCGCGCCCUCCUCUCCGCGCCGUUCGAGUCCACACACGGUUCGCCGACGAAGAGGCCCAGGCCGCCGCGCUCCGGGCCCGCGCCGGCCGGCUCGAGUGCGCGCCGCCCACCGCGACUAGCUGCUCAACACUCUCCUCGUCGCUACGGGCAACGGCCGUGAGGAGGAGGACGCGCGGGAGGCGCGACAGCGUCAGAAUCAGCCCGUCUGAUCCGACCGAGGCCUACGACGACACGGAUGUGGAGGCUCUGUCCGCCGCCGUCGCGCUAUAUGCCCUGCCCCUGCUCGCCGAGCCCUGCCUCUCGGUAUCUCCAUCCAUGUACGCUGCCGGGGACCCUGCAGGUCCAAGCUUGUCGGCGAGGGGGAGCGCAGACAGCAGCCUAGCCCGUCAUGGCGUCCACCAAGGUGCAGCGGAUCAUGACCCAGCCCGUCAACCCCAUCUUCCGCUUCCUCCAGAGCGUAAGCCUCUCCCUCCCUACCCACACAUUCCUUUCUUCUCCUUCCCCCGUUUCCUCAUGCUUGCGGUUUCGCUGACCUCGUUUCCUCUGCCGGAGCAGAAGGCGUGCAUCCAGAUCUGGCUCUUCGAGCAGAAGGACAAGCAGAUCGAGGGCAGGAUCAUCGUAAGUGGUUUCUAAUUUCGCUGAAAUUUUUUAUCCUGCAUUUUUGUGGGAGACAUUGCGUGGUAGUGGUGCUGCAAAGAAUUCCACUGUUUGGGGGAAGUUCAGGGGAGCUUCUGCUCUGUCAUUGGGAGGAAGAGUGCGCUUGUUAAAGCUGCGAGUCAUUGGUGCUCUGCGCUGUAGAUGGAAAAUGUGACAAUACUGUGUUGAAGUUUGUUAUAUCCAUACGAGGAGAUACAAGAUGUGGCACUCCUGUGCUGAAUUUCGUUAUGGCCACAUGAUAAGGAGAUAAAAAUGUUGAACUAACUGUAAGCAGGUUCUUGUAGUUGUCUUACUGCAUUUCCAUGUAAUCCUAAUCCAAUUUGCCAUAUCUUAUUGUCCAAGCAAACACAAUAUAAACACAUAUCAAAUGGAACAAAAGUAGCAAUCUCAGAGUGUUUGUUAAUGCACUGGACACCUCUUAUUGCUACUAAUUGAACUGCCAUGUGUCGACAUUAAGAAAAGUAGCUCUAAGCAUCUGCGGGAAACUUUGUUAAUUGGACGACACACUUGUUACACAAAGGAAGUUCUCUGAUAGCCUAUUGCUUGGUUCUAUAUUACUGGCAUUAUGCUUGCUAUUUCUAUUUAAAUACCCCAUAACUUAUUAGCUCCGUAUCUAUUCAUUUUUUCUGAAAAGAAUAACUGUUAUGAUCUAAAACUUUAGCAACUUACUGACGGCGAUCUGGAAUAAAAAUAAUAAGCAUUUCUGUUUGAGAAACCUACUUGAUAUGUUUCACUAAUUUCUGUUGUAGUAAAAUUGUCUAAUUACUUACAGAUUCUUCAUUUAGAUAAAACUAUGUAACACAUGAACUGGAAGCUACUUUAAUUGGAGGUCCAUAGGUUUAUUUCUGACUUACCAAAAACCAUAUCUGAUUUCAUUGUUGUAUGAUUCAUAAUCUUGAAGAUGUGUACCUUAUUUUACUCCAUUGCUUCUCGCCCUCUAAUAGGAUGACCCUUUAAUUAUUUGUUUAUGUAGACUUUGUUCCGUAGCAACGCACGAGUAAUUUACUAGAGCGAGCGGUGUCGUGGUGAUCUCGCUGGCGAGUGACAGGAGGAGGACGACGGGCUGAGCCGAAGGAGGGCGAGGCGUCCACAUGCAGGAGGCUCCCCGGCAGAUCGGGGAGACAGUGCCAAGGCAUCACACCUCCAUUUUCUCGAAGCAGGGCAUGUGUGCUAUUUCUAAAAAAAGAAGCUUCCCUGUUGGCUGGCAUCCCUGAUGCUACACAGGAAUUAUGUAGAAAAAGAAAUGGCAUGUCAUAAUUCUUUGGAUGUAGACCAGUAGGGUCAAUUACAAAUUGUUGGCUGUAAAUGACUUUCAGUUUCUAGCUUUCAUAAAAUUUAGAUUUAACAGUAUGAUGUGGUUGAUGGUGGUCCUAUCUGCUGGUUCAAAUUAUCAUGUUGGAUAAUAUUGCUUUUACUAGCAAUUGCAGUGUUCUUACUAUUUUAUUUCCACAAAUAUCAUCAUGUUUUGCUAUUGAUGUAAUGCUAUAUUUGUUGACUGAAAUUAAACCCUUCAGUUGCUGGCGUGGUGCUCUUAUUACUGUUAUAUUCCUUCACAGAAAGCAAACCUUGUUCAUGGCUAACUUAUAUUAUACUCCUUCCGUUUCAAAAUAGAUAACCCAACUUUGUAUUAACUUUAUACUAAAGUUAGUACAAAGUUGAGUCAUCUAUUUUGGAACGGAGGGAGUAGCAGAUAUUGUGUUUAGAAACCAUCAAUCUCAGGAACACUCUGACCAUGUGUUUGAUUCUGUUGAAGACCCUAUAUAUGAUGAGGUGCUAUAACUGCUAAUGUUGAGCUAUAUGGACUCUAUGAGAAGAACCACCAUGACAAACAUACGGGUCAAUAGAAUUCAGAAAGUUACAGUUUAUUUGCUCCGAAACUACUCUGUGGACGAUAUUUUAUGCUGCAGAUCACUGCACGACCCUAAUCAAACAGUCUGCUGCAGUUUAAUUCUAUACAUGGAUGGCUCGAUCUCAUUGUUGUCCAAAAAUUGUCUUAUUGGUGCCGUGUGCAUAUAUUUAGUAAUGGCUAAAGUUUCAAUGUAAAUCGUUAACUAGACUCCCAUGAUUGCGGUGGUGUAUUAUUCGGCAAAAAGUAUUAUUGUCGCCUUUAAAUGUUUUCAUUCACAUGUGUGGUCAUAUACUCCAUACCUAGACAAAUCUAAGACAAGAAUUUUGGGACUAAGGGAGUAUACUGCUUGGCGAAACAAUUGGUCGUUAUUUUCAAUAAAAGUAAACGUCAAGUGAUUUGUUUGGACCAAGCCCAAAUAGCUAAAAAGAAAAGAAUAAACUCUUCCCAACCAAACAACCACCUGCAAAAGUCCAUAACAAAAAUGCUCUAAAAACCCGUCAAAAAUGCUCUAAAAAUAUAUGAAAAAAAUUUAACACAGUAAAAAUAGCUUCAAAAUGUUCAUACUAUUUUUGUUUCACACAGAAAAUUCCAAAAAAUGUUCCAUUUUUACUAAAACAAAGUCCAUUUAGAAACGUUAAACAAAAAAACAUUAACAAAGUACAUUUAGAAAUGUAAAACACAAAAAACAUUCUUUUCAUAAAAGACAUGUAUUAAAAAUGUACUUUUUUCGUAAAAAAUGUUCCUUUUUAGAGAAAUAUUAUUUUCACAAAUAUGUUAUAAAUAUUCUUAAAAAGACUUCCAAUUUUUGUGAAAGCAAUUAAAAUAAGGAAUUUUGCAUGUUUGACCUUAUUAUAGACAUUUAUUAAAAUUGAAUAUAAAAAUGAUGCACAAUGGCACUUGUGCCUUUUUAUCGCCCGGUGCAACGCACGGGCAUUUGUACUAGUAGAACAUUAAUUUACAUACACGAGGGGCCCCCUCCAAAAUGCUCUUACGCCUUGUGGGGUCAUGCCCAAGUCAUGGCACGCAGGUGAAGCGAAAGAACGCGGGCUCAAUUGGAGAUGUCGCUUGCAGCGUCGUCCUGGUCGCUCUUGUACGCGUUGCUGGCUCUGCCGCUGGCGUCGUCUUCACCGUCAUCAACCACGCCGUCUUCGUCCGCCACGACCACCACUGCGUCAUCCUCGGUGGCGAACGCCCUGACCAGAGCGUCCACAUUAUCGUCCACCCAACACGCCAGGUUUUCUGGGAUAGCCCAGGGCACUGGGGCGAUAGCGGCGACAAAGUCGAAGUUGGGGUCAAGGUUCUGGAGAUGACUGAAGACGUAGGAGAACGCAUGCCCGAGGAGGCCUCAGCUCCUUUCCUCAACAAUCUCACGAGCCCUCGUGGACUGGUCCUUCAGGCGCGCCACGACUUCGGUAAAAGAGCGGAGAUGGCUGGCAUAGUCUUCCUCGUGGGGAUGAGGGGCGCGCUCUUCGCAGAUGACGCCCAGUGCCCGGUUGGCCCUCACCCUGAGGGCCUCGAGCAUGGGAGCAUGUUCACACUGCAACGUCUGCCGACGACAUGCCUCCUCUUUGUUCUGCUGCGCGAGGGACGCGGCAUCAUCAACCUGCUGCUGGAGCAAGAGCAGUUCAUCACGAGCAGAGGCCAGGUCGGCCUGGGCAGAGGUUAGGGCCACCACGUCAGUCCUCUCACGCUGCUCCGCCUCGUCUAGCCUUGACCUAAGGGCGGUGGUCCUGCCCCCAGCUUGGGCCUUCAGGAGCAGCAACUUCAGGUCGUACCCAUUGGAAAGAUCCGCGCGAGCCUUCGGAACCCUACGGUCAACCUCCUCCCGGAUCCCGGCUUCGUGCGUGUUGACGGCUUCUUCAGCCAGGGUCACUUGGCGCUCCCUUGUAUCCACCCGUUCAAGCUCGAGGCUGUGCUCUGCUACCUCUUGAGCAUGCGUUGGUUUUUCCUUGAAGAGGAAAGGGUGAUGCAGCAAAGUAGCGUAAGUAUUUCCCUCAGUUUUUGAGAACCAAGGUAUCAAUCCAGUAGGAGAUAACACGCAAGCCAGCUAGUACCUGUACAAACAAUUAAGAACCUCGCAACCAACGCCAUAAAGGGGUUGUCAAUCCCUUCACGGUCACUUGCGAAAGUGAGAUGUGAUAAAGAUAGUAAGAUACUAUUUUUGGUAUUUUUGUUGUAUAGAUUGGAAAGUAAAGAUUGUAAAAUAGUAAACGAGAUGCGAUGUAAAUAAAAAGAGAUGCAAUAUAAUAAGAAAGAGACCCGGGGGCCAUAGGUUUCACUAGUGGCUUCUCUCAUGAUAGCAUGUAUUACGGUGGGUGAACAAAUUACUGCCGAGCAAUUGAUAGAAGAUCGCAUAAUUAUGAUAAUAUCUAGGCAAUGAUUCUGAACAUAGGCAUCACGUCCGUGUUAAGUAGACCGAAAUAAUUCUGCAUAUACUACUAUUACUCCACACAUCGACCACUAUCCAGCAUGCAUCUAGAGUAUUAAGUUCAUAAGAACAGAGUAAUGCUUUAGGCAAGAUGACAUGAUGUAGAGGGAUAAACUCAAGCAAUAUGAUAUAAACCCCAUCUUUUUAUCCUUGAUGGCAACAAUACAAUACGUGCCUUGCUGCCCCUAUUGUCACUGGGAAACCACACCGCAAGAUUGAACCCAAAGCUAAGCACUUCUCCCAUUGCAAAUGAUCAAUCUAGUAGGCCAAACUAAACUGAUAAUUCGAAGAGACUUGCAAAGAUACACAUAAGAAUUCAGAGAAGAACCAAAUAUUAUUCAUGGAUAACUUGAUCAUAAAUCCGCAAUUCAUCGGAUCUCGACAAACACACCACAAAAAGUAUUACAUCGAAUAGAUCUCCAAGAACAUCAAGGAGAACUUUGUAUUGAGAACCAAAGAGAGAGAAGAAGCCAUAUAGCUAAUAACUAUGGACCCGAAGGUCUGUGGUAAACUACUCACACAUCAUCAGAGAGGCUAUGGUGUUGAUGUAGAAGCCCUCCGUGAUCGAAUCCCCCUCCGACAGAUCACCGGAAAAGGUCCCAGAUGGGAUCUCACGGGUACAGAAGGUUGCGGCAGUGGAAAAGUGGUUUCGUGGCUCCCCCUGAUGUUUUUAGGGUAUAAAAGUAUAUAUAGGCGAAGAAGUACGUCGGUGGAGCUCCGUCGGGCCCACGAGGAUGGGGGCGCGCCCUCCUAUCUCGUGGAAUCCUUGCGGAGUUCUAGACUUCCACACCAAGUCUCCUGGUUUGUGUUUGUUCUAAGAAAGGUCCUCGCGAAGGAUUCUUUCCGCUUGGAUUCCGUUUGAUAUUUUUUUUCUGCAGAACACUGAAACAGGCAAAAAACCAGAAACUGGCACUGGGCCUCCGGUUAAUAGAUUAGUCCCAAAAAUAAUAUAAAAGGGCAUAUUAAAGCCCAUUAAACAUCCAAAUCAGAUAAUAUAAUAUCAUGGAACAAUAAAAAAUUAUAGAUACGUUGGAGACGUAUCUCGCUCCGAGGCCUCUAGCAGCAGCGCCUCCUCGCGCUUCAAGAUCUCCUUCUCUUUGGAAGGCACCCCCUCAUCGACGCCAAGACAACCCUGCGCGCCUCGACCUGCUGCUCCAAGGUAGCGUUCAAGGCCUGGAGCUCCCGUGCGUGCUCCUCGGUGAUCUCGCGGCGGCGAUCAGCUUCCCUGGCCUCUUACAAGGCCCAGACGUUGGUCUCGCGCGAGGUCGCAAGGGAUGUCUCGGCUUUCACAUUGGCGCGCUCGCGUUGAAUACGCCUGAGGUUGAUGGCCACCAUCAAUUGAUGACAUUCGUCCACCAACCGAAGGACCUCAGUCUCAAGGCGGGCAUCAACGUCAACAAGCUCUUCCCCAAGCCGGCUCAACGCACCCAUCGCCCCCUGGAAGAGAUCAUUGAAGACAGCGCCGUGCCCGCACGCAAGCUCAAACGCACGGCCGGGUCUGUCCUUUGCACCAGGAAUCGUUGAGGAAGCUCGAGGUGGCUCUUCUGCUCCUGGCAGGAGGCAGGAGGCCAGUGCCUUCCACGCUGCUUUUUGGGCCUCGGCGCAGGCCCUAUGGGGCGGGGCCUCGUAGCUUGAGGACGAGGUCAAGGCUGAGGUCACCUAGCUGCGGGCGAUGACCAAUGGAGGGGCCCUCGGCAUGCCUUCAGCACCCCAGGCAGGAUCACGAAGGAGGGACGACAAGAGCGCAGGGUCAAGGCACCUGGUUGGCGCGUACACCUCCUCAACAGGCCUCGUGCCACGCACAACAAUCCGGCAGGGGAUGUUCAAGGCCAGUAGAGAGCCUAGAGUUGGUGGAGGUCGCUUCUCAGGAGAUUUCGCCGCCCUAGCCGAAGGGACCCUAAAGGAGUUGUGGUCAGGAGGGGAUACAUCACUCAGAAAGUUACGCAGAUGAGGUACUUACUCGUGUAUGGCGAUGUACUUCCUCUGCUUCAACUGCUGGUAGGUGCCACCCCUGCAGCUUGGAGACUGGUAACCCACAAGUAUAGGGGAUUGCAACAGUUUUCGAUAAGUAAGAGUGUCGAACCCAACGAGGAGCUAAAUGUAGAACAAAUAUUCCCUCAAGUUCUAUCGACCACCGAUACAACUCUACGCACGCUUGACGUUUGCUUUACCUAGAACAAGUAUGAAACUAGAAGUACUUUGUAGGUGUUGUUGGAUAGGUUUGCAAGAAAGUAAAGAGCACAAAAAUAAAACUAGGGGCUGUUAAGGUAAAGAAGCAACUAAAGUAAAUAUAGCGAGUGUGGAAAAGUGGUGGGGGAGUUGCGAAAUUGUCCCUUAAGCAAUUGACUACUUUACUAGACCGAUAGCAAGUAUUAUGUGGGAGAGGCCACUGCUAGCAUGUCAUCCCUUACUUGGAAUUCUAUGCACUUAUGAUUGGAACUAUUAGCAAGCAUCCGCAACUACUAAUGUUCAUUAAGGUAAAACCCAACCAUAGCAUUAAGAUAUAUUGGCCCCCCUUCAAUCCCGUAUGCAUCAAUUUCUAUGCUAGGUUGAAGCUUCUGUCACUCUUGCCCUCCAAUACAUAGUCCUAUCAACAUACAACUAAACCCUAGGGUGUGAUCCACGCGUGCAAUCAUAUGAUGGGCACCAAAGGACAGCAACAUAACCACAAGCAAAUUAAAUCAAUCAUAGCAAUUCAUCAACCACCGAUAGGACAACGAAAAUCUACUCAGACAUCAUAGGAUGGCAACACAUCAUUGGAUAAUAAUAUGAAGCAUAAAGCACCAUGUUCAAGUAGAGGGUACAACGGGUUGUGGGAGAGUGGACCGCUGUAGAUGGAGGGGGGAGGUGAUGGAGAUGUUGGUGAAGAUGGCGGAGGUGUUGGUGUAGAUCGCGGUGAUGAUGAUGGCCCCCGGUGGCACUCCGGUGCCACCGGAAGCGAGGGGGAGAGGGCCCCCCUUCUUCUUCUUCUUCCUUGACCUCCUCCCUAGAUGGGAGAAGGGUUUCCCCUCUGGUCCUUGGCUCCCAUGGCAUGGGAGGGGCGAGAGCCCCUCUGAGAUUGGAUGUAUCUCUCUCUCUGGUUCUGCGUUCUCUUCUGGCUCUGUUUCACCGUUUCGUAUAUAUAUGGAGAUCCGCAACUCCGAUUGGCCUGAAACCUUCGCCGUGAUUUUUUUUCCGAAUAUUAGCUUUCUUGUGGCAAAAGAAGAGCGUCAACCGCCUUACGGUGGGCUCACGAGGGUAGGGGCGCGCCCCCUGCCUCGUGACCACCUCGGGCACUGGUUCGCGUUGAUUUUCCUUCCGAAUUUUCCAUAUUUUCCAAAAAUAAGCUCUGUCCGUUUUUAUCCCGUUUGGACUCCGUUUGAUAUGGAUAUUCUGCGAAACCAAAAACAUGCAACAGACAUGAACUGGCACUAGGCACUGGAUCAAUAUGUUAGUCCCAAAAUAAUAUAAAAAGUUACCAAAAAAUAUAUGAAAGUUGAAUAAUAUUGGCAUCAAAUGACCAAAAAUUAUAGAUACGAUGGAGACGUAUCAGCAUCCCCAAGCUUAAUUCCUGCUCGUCCUCGAGUAGGUAAAUGAUAGAAAGAUAAUUUUUGAUGUGGAAUGCUACCUAGCAUUAUCUUGAUCAUAUGUCUAAUCAUGGCAUGAAUAUUAAGACACCAGUGAUUCAAGGCAAUAGUCUAUCAUUUGACAUAAAAACAAUAAUACUUCAAGCCCACUAAUAAAGCAAUCGUGUCUUUUCAAAAUAACAUGGCCAAAGAAAGUUAUCCCUACAAAAUCAUAUAGUCUCGCUAUGCUCCAUCUUCACCACACAAAAUAUUCACAUCAUGCACAACCCCGAUGACAAGCCAAGCAAUUGUUUCAUACUUUUGACGUUCUCAAACCUUUUCAACUUUCACGCAAUACAUGAGCGUGAGCCAUGGUCAUAGCACUAUAGGUGGAAUAGAAUAUGAUGAUGGAGAAGACAAAAAGGAGAAGAUAGUCUCACAUCAACUCGGCGUAUCAACGGGCUAUGGAGAUGCCCAUCAAUAGAUAUCAAUGUGAGUGAGUAGGGAUUGCCAUGCAACAGAUGCACUAGAGCUAUAAGUAUAUGAAAGCUCAAACUGAAACUAAGUGGGUGUGCAUCCAACUUGCUUGCUCAUGAAGACCUAGGGCAUUUGAGGAAGCCCAUCGUUGGAAUAUACAAGCCAAGUUCUAUAAUGAAAAUUCCCACGAGUAUAUGAAAGUGAUAACUCAAGAGACUCUCUAUAUGAAGAACAUGGUGCUACUUUGAAGCACAAGUGUGGUAAAAGGAUAGUAACAUUGCCCCUUCUCUCUUUUUAUCUCAUUUUUUUUCUCUUUUUUGGGCCUUUCUUUUAUUUUUAUUUUUUUUUCGUCCGGAGUCUCAUCCCGACUUGUGGGGGAAUCAUAGUCUCCAUCAUCCUUUCCUCAUUGGGGCAAUGCUCUAAUAAUGAUGAUCAUCACACUUUUAUUUACUUACAACUCAAUAUUACAACUCGAUAUCUAGAACAAAUAUAUGACUCUAUAUGAAUGCCUCCGGUGGUGUACCGGAUGUGCAAUGAUGUAGCGUAGCAAUGACAUCAAAAAACGGGAAAGCCAUGAAAACAUCAUGCUAGCUAUCUUACGAUCAUGCAAAGCAAUAUGACGAUAAAUGCUCAAGUCAUGUAUAUGAUGAUGAUGGAAGUUGCAUGGCAAUAUAUCUUGGAAUGGCUAUGGAAAUGCCAUGAUAGGUAGGUAUGGUGGCUGUUUUUAGGAAGGUAUAUGGUGGGUUUAUGGUACCGGCGAAAGUUGCGCGGUACUAGAGAGGCUAGCAACGGUGGAAGGGUGAGAGUGCGUAUAAUCCAUGGACUCAACAUUAGUCAUAAAGAACUCACAUACUUAUUGCAAAAAUCUAUUAGUCAUCGAAACAAAGUACUAUGCGCAUGCUCCUAGGGGGAUAGAUUGGUAGGAAAAGACCAUCGCUCGUCCCUGACCGCCACUCAUAAGGAAGACAAUCAAUAAAUAAAUCAUGCUCCGACUUCGUUACAUAACGGUUCACCAUACGUGCAUGCUACGGGAAUCACAAACCUCAACACAAGUAUUUCUACAAUCCACAACUACCCACUAGCAUGACUCUAAUAUCACCAUCUUUAUAUCGCAAAACUAUUGCAAGGAAUCAAACAUAUCAUAUUCAGUGAUCUACAAGUUCUAUGUAGGAUUUUAUGACUAACCAUGUGAAUGACCAAUUCCUGUCAUCUCUCUAAAUAGGUAUAAGUGAAGCAAGAGAGUUUAAUUCUUUCUACAAAAGAUAUGCCCACUCUGUAACAAAUAUAAGUGAAGCAAAAGAGCAUUAUACAAAUGGCAGUUGUAUAUGUAAAGAGAAACAGGCAAUCCUAGCUUCAAAUGAUAUAAGUGAAGCACAUGAAGCUUUCUAUAAAGCCAUACUCAAAGAAUAUAAGUGAAGUGCAAAUAGCAUUAUAUAAAUCAACCAAGGACUAACUCAUACCAGCAUGGUGCAAAAAAGAAAAAGAAAAACCUAAAUGCAAAAUACGCUCCAAGACUUGCACAUAUCGCAUGAACGAAACGAAUCCGAAAACAUACCGAUACUUGUUGAAGAAAGAGGGGAUGCCUCCCCAGCAUCCCCAAGCUUAGACGCUUGAGUCUCCUUGAAUAUUUACUUGGGGUGCCUCGGGAAUCCCCAAGCUUGAGCUCUUGCCUCUCUUCCUUCUUCUCACAUCGAGACCUUCUCGAUCAUCGAACACUUCAUCCACACAAAACUUCAAUAGAAAACUCGGUAAGAUCCGUUAGUAUAAUAAAGCAAAUCACUACUCUAAGUACUGUUGCAAACCAAUUCAUAUUUUGUUUUUGCAUUGUAUCUACUGUAGUAUAACUUUUUCAUGGCUUAAUCCACCGAUAUAAAUUGAUAGUUUCAUCAAAACAAGCAAACUAUGCAUCAAAAACAGAAUCUGUCUAAAACAGAACAGUCUGUAGCAAUCUGAACAUUCACCAUACUUCUGAUACUUGAAAAAUUCUGCCAAAAUUAGGAACAAUAAAAAAUUUGUACAUCAAGACAGUGCAAAAAGAAUCAUAACUAUUUGACGUUCCAGCUAAAAAUGUAAAAUCGCGCACUACAGCCAAAGUUUCUGUCCUGCACCGCACAAACCAUCAAGCAAAUGUAAACAUCCUAAAGGCAAACCUUGGCACAUUAUUUUUAUAAUACAAUGGAAUUGUACAAGGGGAUAAUUAUUUUUAUUGAAAAGUUUCUGUAAUCAAGAUUCACAAAGUUGCCGUGAGCAUGAACAAAGUUCAAGGAGCUCUCCCACUUCAACAGUGCUUGUCUUUCUCACUUUCACUUUCCUUUUUGAAAAGUUUUGGGUUCCCCUCUUUAUUUUUGUUGUUUUUAAACUAUAUGAAAGCACUCAACAGAAAUAAAUAACUCUCUAAAACUUCCAGGUUGUCUCCCUGGCAGCGCUUUCUUUAAAGCCAUUAAGCUAGGCAUAUAGUGCUCAAGUAGUGAAUCCACCCGGAUCCCAAGGUAUAUCAAAGCCAAUUUUAAUUAACAAUGAUUUGUAAUUUAGUAGUGAGCACAAAGCAACAUAUAUCAAGCAAUGACGAAGUAUAACUCUCUUCCUAUGCAUCGGCAUGUCAUAAAAGAACAAUUCAUGCACACCUAGUAAAGGCCAAUGCAUAGUAUAAACAGUUUCUUGCAAUUUUAUCAUGUUGGAAACAUAGAGAGGUGGAGAUAUAGUUCCUCUCUCAUAAUAAUUGCAAGUAGGAACAGCAAGCACAUGCAUAUUAUAUCUAUAAAAAUCAUCAUGUGCAACGGUAAAAGGCAACCCAUCAAUAUAAUCCUUAAUAAGUGCAAACUUCUCCGAUAUAGUGUAGUUGGGAGAAUUCAAAAAGAUAAUAGGACUAUCAUGCGUGGGUGCAAUAGCAACAAUUUCAUGUUUAACAUAAGGAACUAUAGCAAGUUCAUCUCCAUAAGCAUAAUUCAUAUUGGCAUCUUGGCCACAAGCAUAGCAAGCAUCAUCAAAAAGGGAUAUUUCAAAAGAAUCGACGGGAUCAUAGCAAUUAUCAUAGCAUUCAUCCUUCGGUAAGCACGAAGGGGAAUUAAACAAUGUAUGAGUUGAAGAGUUACUCUCAUUAGAAGGUGGGCACGGGUGAUCAAUCCGCUCUUCCUCCUUUUGUUUUUCGCUCUCCUCAUCAUCUUUUUCAUCCAAUGAGCUCACGGUUUCAUCAAUUUCUUCUUCCAUAGACUCCUGCAAAAUAUUAGUCUCUUCUUGGACAGCAGAGUAUUCCUCAAUAUAUUGUUUAACAUAGGUAUUAGAAGCAUAAUUAUCAUAGCAAUAUUUAAGUAUAGCAAAUUUUUCAGAUUUGUGAAAAGUAGCAUCAUACUUUUCAAUCAAAGAAGCAAUUUCAUAAGCACCGUCAAAAGCAACAAAUUCUUCAAUUUGUUGAACAUCAUAGUAAUUGUAAACACCCUUAGCAUACGAAGAUAAGAUUCCAUUAUCACUAAACUCCGGAGUAAGGAAUUAAUCACUUGGAUAAAACAAGAAUAAGAAUUACCUUAUGCUCAUCCUUCACCAAUUAAAUUGAUGACAAACAAUGGAUUUGGCAUACUACUCAUUCUCGUAGAAGGGAUUAAGAAGAUAUAACAUAAACUUGGGAAGGUCUUCGACAAAUCCACUGGUAGGAUUGAAACAACGAAUAAAUCAAUAUGAUACCAAGAGAAAAGGAAUAUUGGAUGAACCACCGUAAGAAUUAAAAUGACCGAGGAAAAGAUAAGGACAACACCGGGAAGAAUUAGCAAAUGAACGAAGAAGCUUGAGAGAAUUUAGAUACAUGAGAACGAAGCAAUCACAAGCUGAUAAGAGAAUACUUGAAUGAUGCACCAGUAAGAUUUGGAGAAUGAUAGCUGAAAGCUGAGAAUGAAUAAAUCUUCUGAAAUGAUGGGCUUCGGAGAAUCAAACAGAAAAGACUCUUGAAUUGCUCCAGAAGGAUGAAAAGAAUUUCCACAAUCAAAAACAAUUACGAGAGGAUGGCCUCAAAUUAGAAUCACGAAUCUCUGAGAGAAUAGAUAAGAUAUGGAGGAAACACUCUUAUUCGGUCUUCAAAAUCCGAGAAUGACGACGAGAAACACUACCAAGAAUUGUUCAGGCACUACGGAAUGAAGAAUGGAAAAGGUUGAGCCAACGAUGAAAAGAAUUUAACCGAUCUUGGAUAAAGGCAUUUGACUGAUGAUAAAUCAUUCUUACGUCAAACUUUGAGAUGAAUAUGAGAAUAACUCCGGAAAUUAGAAGAGUCAGGUAAGAUCCUGGGGAAAAGACCUAUGGGUUAGGGCCCACUCAAAAAAUACACCGUAGAACAAUUUAAAAGAGAGAAUGCACCAGUUGAAUUAAAUUGCUAGAAUGAGAUAACAACCUCGAAAUAGGUUGAACGGAUCUUGAAUGACAAGACGAGCCUUUUGAGAAAGCUUGAGCACGCCGGAACAAAUGAAUAGUGAGAAGUGAAUUAUUAUGAGGUGCACCGGUAUGAGAAGGCAUUGAAAUGAGGAAAGGGUAAGAUCAACAAAGCUUGACUUGAAACCACCGGAGAAGAUAAAAGAAAUGAAGAAUGAUGAACUAGAAGCUCCGUUAGUAUCUUCAUGAGAAUCACCAGAUAAGAACAUUGAAGGAAAAGAAUGGAGAGGCUUCACAUCAAUAAGAUGGAUACUCGAUUAAGAAAUCUGAGUCCUUGAAGAAAAACAAGGGAGGGAGGGCGGGAAAACAAAGGCAACAUGGAGAUGGAUGAAACAAACAACAUUGAGAAGAACUGAUAAUUGAUUUUGCGAAUGUUGAAGUGAUCGGAUCCACUUGAAGAGAGGCACACCGGUAGAACAAGAUUGACAUAACAAUCUCGAUUAUCGAGAAGGAUUAUUAUUCACAUCGGAGUAUGAGAACACCAUUUGGGGAAGGUAUGGAAUCAACACUUGACAUUGAAGCAACUCGAAUACCACAACUCCAAACAAAAACAAAGGAUUGGCUUGCAGAAUAAGCCGGAACAAACAUAUGAUAGAGAUUUCGUCCGAAGUUUUUGUGGUGGGGCCUACACGGGCUCGAUCGUACAGCACCAUCAUGUACAAGGUAGUGCACAUGACAUACGAAGCGUCCCGAGUCGGCAUAGCCAAGGACUCUUUAAGACACAACGAGACCACUGUAAAACCAACCGUGAAUAGGCGGACCACUAGACGUCGAACCCCAAUUUCAUAUCAUAUAUCCGUCGGAAAGAUAUCCUAAGAGCUACUUGAAUUCCCACUUAUAAACUCCUGAAAUUUUCCCGGUUAUGCAAUCAUGUGUUGGGGAUACAGGGGAAGCAUAAUAUCUCACCCAAAACUAACAAAUCCUACAUCCAGCUGUAUCCAUCCUCCAACACAUAACCAAGAAACCUUCAGAAAUCGUUUACCUCAACCUUCGAAAAGCAUCCGUUAUACGAGUUAUGGCAAUACUCCCGAACUCCCGCCCCAGUACUGGGUGGCGUCGAGGUUAUCUCACCAACAACUGCAUAAAAGAGAUUUUCGAUGUCGGCGAAACUAAACUCAGGUAUUCCAGAACUGCAACGAUAAAAUUGUGACGACAACACCUCAGAGCUCAACUCCCCGGGACACUGCCACAACCCCUAAAUGAUAGGAGGCACCAAGAGCAAUGUUCUUGUCACAAAACCAUCGGAACGAUUCCAAGAUACCCGCGUGAUCCUAAAUUUUUUUUAGUGAAAUUUAAGAAGAGAAGAGUCAAAACUCUACGUCAGGAUGCCUCACCAGAGCGAUGAAGGGACUGAGGUGUAAAAAGAAGUCCCAACUCUCCGAUAUAUAUAAUUCCUAAAUGACUCAAAACAUUUUUCUAGACUCAACAACGCCAGCUAUUCGAUCAAGCAGGGGGCUCCUAAGGUCGGGGAAGGCUCUGAUUACCAACUUGUAACACCCUCAAUGCGGCUAUAUCUCCCACGUGUCGAAGCACGACUUAGAGGCAUAACCGCAUUGAAAGCAAUGUUGCAAGUGAGGUAAUCUUCGCAAACAACCCAUGUAAUACAAUAAGGGAAAAGAUACAUAGUUGGCUUACAAUCGCCACUUCACACAAAUACAUGAAUAAAGCAUUACAUCAUCCAAAUACAAUCAGGGCCCGACUACGGAGCCAAAAUAAAAGAAGACUACCCCAAAUGCUACACAGAUCCCCGAUCGACCCCAACUAGGCUCCACUACUGAUCAACUAGAACGAAACAACACAAAGGGCAAUAUCUCCAUCGAGCUCCUCCUUGAGCUUGGUUGCGUCAACUGCACGGUUCAACGACACCUACAAGCUGGUUUUGGAAGUAUCUGUGAGUCACGGGGACUCAGCGAUCUCACACCCUCGCGAUCAAGACCAUUUAAGCUUAUGGGAAGGGUAAAAGGUAUGAGGUGGAGCUGCAGCAAGCGACUAGCAUAUAUGGUGGCUAACUUAUUUGCAAAAGAGAGCGAGAAGAGAAGGCAAAAGCACGGUCGAACAACUAUGAUCAAGAAGUGAUCCUAGAACAACCUACGUCAAGCAUAACUCCAACACCGUGUUCACUUCCCGGACUCCGCCGAGAAGAGACCAUCACGGUUACACACGUGGUUGGUGCAUUUUAAUUAAGAUCAACUUCAGGUUUUCUACAACUGGACAUUAACAAAUUCCCAUCUGCCCAUAACCGCGCGCACGGCUUUCGAAAGUUCAAAACCCUGCAGGGGUGUCCCAACUUAGCCCAUCACAAGCUCUCACGGUCAACGAAGGAUAUUUCUUCUAGCGGGAAGACCCGAUCAGGCUCGGAAUCCCGUUUACAAGACAUCCUCGACAAUGGUAAAACAAGUCCAGCAAGACCACCCGAUGCACCGACAUCCCGAUAGGAUCUGCACAUAUCUCGUUCUCAGGGCACACCAGAUAAGCUAAGCGUACGGGAGCCAACGUAACCCAAGUUGCCAAGGGACGGCCCCGCACGGUGCUCUGGGUUGGACCAACACUUAGACAAGCCCUGGCCCGGGGGUUUAAAAAUAAAGAUGACCCUCGGGAUGCGCGACUCCCAAGGGAAAAGGCUAGGUGGCGAAUGGUAAAACCAAGGUUGGGCCUUGCUGGAGGAGUUUUAUUCAAAGCGAAUUGUCAAGGGGUUCCCAUUAUAACCCAACCGCGUAAGGAACGCAAAAUCCGGAAACAUAACACCGAUAUGACGGAAACUAGGGCGGCAAGAGUGGAACAAAACACCAGGCAUAAGGCCGAGCCUUCCACCCUUUACCAAGUAUAUAGAUGCAUUAAUUAAAUAAGAGAUAUUGUGAUAUCCCAACAAAAUAUCCAUGUUCCAACAUGGAACAAACUCCAAUCUUCACCUGCAACUAACAACGCUAUAAGAGGGGCUGAGCAAAGCGGUAACAUAGCCAAACAACGGUUUGCUAGGACAAGGUGGUUAGAGGCUUGGCUUAACAAUAUGGGAGGCAUGAUAUAGCAAGUGGUAGGUAUCGCAGCAUAGACAUAGCAAAAGAGCGAGCAACUAGCAAGCAAAGAUAAAAGUGAAUUCGAGGGUAUGGUCAUCUUGCCUGAGAUCCCGCAAGGAAGAAGAACGAGUCCAUGAAGAAGACAAACGGACAUAGUCGAGCGGAUCCUCACAAACAUGACGUUACCGGAUUACCAAGAAGUACACCGGAAAGAAGGCAAACAACAUAGUAAACAAUUAUCACAUAAGCAUGGCACGAUGCGCAAACAAAUAUGAUGCAUGCCCGGUUUAAAAAUGCAUGGCAUGGCAAAGGGCACAAACAAAACUACAAGUUAAGUGGAGCUCAAUAUGCAACGAGUUGCAUAUUGAUGGAACACCACAUCAAUUAUUUAGUUCUCUCUCGUUUAUGUACCCAACAAUAUUAAAUGUUGUUAAACAUGGCAAGAGGUGAAACAUGAGUAAAAUACACAGUUAGGCAUUUUAAAUGAGGCCAGAAACAUCAAACAACAAUUCCGGUAAAUCCUCAUGUGCAUUUAGCAGUUUAAUGCAACAACAAUUUAAACAUUUUAAUUGUUGUUAUCAUGAUGCGGAUGACAUGGACAAGUUUAUGCAAUUUUUAUUAAAGUUGACAAGAGCAAUAUGAAGCAUUUGUCACCGUGGUGGAAAGGAAAAGGGGUGCCACGACAACGAUAAUGAAACGGUGCCACGCAAUGUUCCAGUUCCGGCAACUCAUUGAGACGUCGGUGCAAAAGAAAGUGUGGCGGGAGCAUGCAAAAGAUGGUGGGGCGCUCCCGGAUACCGGGUGUCCCAAGAGUUGAUGACAGUGUCAAACGAGGGAACAACUAACGUUCACGGGUGAAUUACAACAACCAACAUGCAUCUCAUACAACUCAUGCAUACGGUCCAUGAGUGGUCGUCUCGAGGUUAUACCUUCGAAGUGUGCCUUUUCGGAACGGAUCAAGUUCGAUGCGGUGUAGGGGAAGUAGACGCUCUCGGGACGUUCGUAGUGGAAGUAGUCGUUCUCGCAUGCUCUAGGAUCGAUGGUAGAGGUUCUCGCAAUCUCGACGGCGGUAAUGGUACAUGUUUUCCUAUAGAUGUGCAGGGUCACGGCGAGGAACUUGAUGCAUCGUUGAACUUGGCGUCCGAGGAAUCCCGCGUAGUCAUACACGAGUCAUAGUCGAACUUGACGGUUCCGUUACAUGGUUCUUCGGAGACGGUAGUUGUUCUCGGUUCGUACACGAACUUGAUGGAUCCGAGGGCUCCAGCCAUCGGGUACUUAACACAACGCCGAGUAGUCGUACGUUUUGAAGAGGAACUUGGCGUCCGAAGGUGUACUUGGCGAAGAACGGUCAUCGUGGAAGUAGUGGUACUUAGGUGUUUCGUUCAGCACUCGUUUGGGCAUCCUUGGUCUUGCCAGCGGUGUGGGUCUCCUUGGGUCAAACAAGAUGUGCCAGACCAGAUUGGCGACGGGGACUUGAAGCAUGGUUCCUGCAGUGCUGGUAACGGCGAAGACGAGUGGAUCCUGGUCGGCCGGCGUUGGAUCCGGGCAAACGGUGGCACGAACGGAGCCCAGGGGCGGAGGGGCUUGAGCGCGGGACGGCGGCCUGGUGGCGUUGGCGCUCCUGCAACAGUUCACGUGAAGGAAGAGCGACGGGGAGGCAUGGGCGAGGAGGUGGACACCAGCAGUGGCAGCUCCGUGGCAGGUGGCCAGGGCCAUGGACGGCGAAGCAGCAUGGCGGCACGCUCGCGGCAGGCUUCUGCAGCCACAGAAGAGGACGAGGCAGGGGCGUCGAGCUCCCAGAGGUGGGAGCUGGUCAUGGUCGCCGGCGAUGGAGGCGGAGCAGAGGAGGCGGUCGAGGCCGGCGCUGGUCAGCACUGCGGCGGCGUCCUGCUGGUGGCCGGCGAUGUGGACAUGGGGCGGCGGAGUCGCAGGUGAAGAAGCAGAGGCACAAGGAGGACCAUGGCGACACGGGCGACGAAGCAGCAGCGGUGCUGGCGCCGAGCCAUGUGGCGGGGAGGCGAGGAGGUGGAGAGGGAUCGAGAAGGAGAGGCUGCGGGAGGAAGAUGGGAUCGAGGGAGAUGGUGGUUCGGGCGUGCGGGUCUCUCUCUGGCGGCGCGAGGGGAGAGGAGAUCGUGAGGAGAUGGGGAUCGGGCUCCCUAUCGGCUAGGGUUAGGUAGGCAAGGGCCGGCUGGGCCUAAGGGUCAAAAGGGCCGACGCUGGAGAUGGGAGGCCCAGGUGGGCAGCGGGAAAAAAUGGCCUAGAGGAGAGGGAGGCCGCGCCUAGGGAGGCCGGCGGCUGGGCCUUAGGCCAAAUUGGUGGGCUGCGUUCUCUCCUCUCUACACUCUCUGUUUAUAUAAAUAAACAGUUUCAAUGAAAGGAAAAGGCCAGGGACUAGAAGAGGAGUUUUUCAGAUAUAAAAAUAUCCUCAAUCUCCUGGAACUAUACUCUAUUUGAUAGAAUUGCCUUGGAUAUAUUUAGAGGUAGAAAAAUAAAACAAGUUUAAAUAUGAUUCAAACUUGAGGCAUUUUUGAACCUAACCAAAACAACUCCAAAGGAUCUGAAAUCUAACAGAGAGGUUGAAGGCAUGGUCGAGAAUUUAUAGGAAAAUAAUGAACAUUAAUAGAUAAGGGGAAAGUGGCACUUACAGAAGAAAGAACUAGAAGGAAAGUAGAAGGAGAUGAUGCAUGGGACAAAGGCAUGGGGAAACAUUUUGCAAGUGUGUCAAGAUAAUUCCAAAUUAAUGAAAUGUUUAAUAUAGCUCCCUACUAUUGGGAGGAUAUGUUAUAAAGAGAAUCACCACGUGAAUUCCCUCGAUUUAAAUGGACCCAAGAUCCAUGCAAUUUAUUUAGUUGAGUUGCAAAAGAUUUAUGAGAUGAUGUAAUGAUGACAUGACAAGAUGCAACACGCAAGCGAAUGACAAAGCAACACAACGAAUAACUGGAGGACACCUGACACAUCGGUCUCGGGGCGUCACAGGAGUAGUCGAAGUGUACAUGGGGAUGAUCAUAGGAUGCUCCACAUCAUCUCACCCACCCACCCUCUUGGGAAAGAUCCGACCUCGGAUCGUGAUCCUCAUCACCAUGGAAACAUUUGUUGUGGACGGACUUGUAGUUAGACGGAGUUGAAGAAAUUGCACAAUCCAAGUACUCCAAGGUGUCGCUGGAGUGGUAUACAUGCAAAAAGAGCAAACACAAACGACACUCGGAAAUACAAUGGUUAGCGCACACAAAGUGUCCAUCAUGUAAGAGUGAGUCCGUGCGGCAAGGUUGUUCAUGACAAAGCACAUGAAGCUUAUCAAGAUGAUAUAGAAUGAUAUGCAAAGCGUUCAUGGGAGCAAACACAUUCAUUGUCCACACAAAUAUGUUGUGAAUAUGAUCAAUGCAACCACAAUGCAAAAUGAUGUCAUAGUGAGAUGGUAUAUCAAUAGCAUGAAUAUGGCAAUGGAUGCUCAAUAUGAAUAAGUUAUCAUGCAAUUGAUGGUAUGCAAUAUGAUCAUGAUGUAUGAAUAUGUCAUCAAGAAAGAUCACAACAAAUUUGCUAAGAAAGUGCACAAGCUCAUAUAUCAUGGAUGACAUGGUAAUACAAGAUGCAACAAGGCAAUCAUAAUGUGAGUCAAUCCAUGCAUAAGACGCAAAUUUGUUAUGUGUGGUGUUGUACCAAAGCUCGAUGUUGUGGCACUACUCGACUUGAAGGUCCAUAGGGUCCAUCUCCAAUGUCGGUCCUCCGUCCAAUAUGUGUAUCAUGUAGACAAGAAGAAGGAAACAAUAAUGAAAGAAUGACUCAUCCAAUAUGCGUAUGUGAGGAUGUGUCAAAUGGAAGGAGUUCACCUUAUGAGUGUUCCCAAAGAUGUUGGAGUUGCACGUCAUGUAGGCCUUCACAUAACCAAUAUGUCUCAUGAUAGUGGUGCCUUGUGAUUCCUUGAAAAUGAAACAACAUGACAAACACUCGAAAAAACAAAUGAGGUUAGCGGAAGUGCAGAACCAAUCAUUCAUGUGGUAAGAUACCCAACAAGUGUAUGCAUCAUGCUCAUCAUAAGAAAGGACAAGGGAGCAUUUCAUAGUAUGGAGGCAUAUGAUGCGAGAACAACCAAAUACAAUAGGCUCAAUCAAACAAGCAUGCAUCACAAGUAAGGUGUCAAAGUCUCCAAGAUCAAUAGUAUGGUUGCACUCACUACAAGUAGAUAUGAGAGAGGCAACUAAUGGAGAUAAGAGACAAUGAUCAAGAUAUGUCACGUGAGAGGCAUGAACAUAUAUGUCAUCAACCCAAGAAAGCGAGUAAGAGUGGAACAUGGGUGAUGCGACAAGGCAAACAAUCAUAGUGAUCAAGUCAAGCAAGCUAGUAGUGCGAAGAUGCAACAUACUAGAAGGAAUCAUGGCAAUCAUGUCGUGUGUGCAAAUAGUGGGCAUGAAUAAUGCACAAGACAUAUCACAAGCAUGAAGGCAAGAUAUGAGCAAAAUAUCAUCAAUGUAUUGGUGAGAGGCCAUAUGUAAAUAGCAAUGGGACAUCAUGACUCUCCCAACACAAUAAGUAUCAAUAGCAUGGGGCACAAAGAAAUCAUGGCAAUAGCUACAAGGAUCUCUACGAAGCAUGCAAAUACACAUAGGAGUAACAUAAUGGUGAAUCGUGGAUGUAUGCACGCAAGGGUCACAAUUGCAUGGCAAAAUCAUGUAAAGAGGCAUAGCAUGCAAAGUGAACAUGAUAGUAUGGGCAUAAGGUAACAAGUGAUAUAUAGCCCAUAGCCAUGUGAGAGCCAAGUAAAAGAGAUGCGUGUAGUCCUUGCGUGAAGGGAAUGGUGGUAAGGAUAGUCCACGAGAUCCCAAGUCAUCUUUGCUCGCAAGAGCUCGUUUUGCCAACUCUUGGGAUUGAGAAGUUGACGAGUAUACAUAAGUACCUACACAAAACAAAGACAAAGGGAAAAUUGUGUGUGUGUGUGUGGUAUAUGUACACAUCAUCCGUUAUGAUGCGCACAUGCUUGUGUUGGUUAGCACAAAAUAUACAAUGCUCAGAUAAAUGAGAUGCAUGAUAGAGAAACAUGUCAUCCAUCAUGAUAGGUUUGUUGUUAUGUAUAGCAUAAUGGAGACCCAAAUUGUGUAAUGCAUCAUGGGAAAUAUGUAGAACAUUGUUAUUCAUGGAAUGCAUAUGGUGCAAGCAAUUAUGGGAAUCAUGCAAAGUAUGGAAUGCAUAAAAAUCUCCUAAUAUGUAUGAGGAAACUAUGGGGGUCUCCUCAUGAGCAUUAAUGGAAACAUCACACAGAUAAUAUUGACAACAUCCAAAACAAUGCAUAUUUGGAAUAAUGUGAUCAUGGCAUGGUAUAGUAGAUGAAUUGCGCAAAUCAUGUAAAGGAAGCAUGGCAAUAUCAUCUCAUGAAAAACAAAAUCCAAUGACCAGCAUCUCGUCAUCUAUGCCAUAAGUGCAAAUGGGAUUUAUUUUAAUGGGGCAUGCAUAGUUACUAUGUUGAGACUGAAAUGAUGCAAUAUGGGAGAUCUCACUCAUAGACUAUGAUAUGUUUAAAGGAUUGUCAAACAUGACAUCACCAAUAGAAUUUUCACAUGAUAACCUAUGGAGCAUAACAUCACAACCAGGAAAUUCAACAUGCUCAUCAUCAUAUUCAUCAUAAAUUGGUAAGUCAUGACAUGAGGAAGUCGCACUAGCAUGAAGCAUGGUCAUAGGUGUGUCAACAUCAUGCAAGAAAUCAUUGGUAAUAUAGUCCACUAGUGGGACAAGAGAAGCACCAUCACCUAUGUUACCUUUGGAGCAUCGCUCAUGUGUUGUAGGUGAGGUGUCGAAGACCAAGUCGUGGUCAUCUUCAUCUUGAUGGAACCAUGUGGGGGUGCAUCAUCGUCCACCAUGGCCAUCAUCGUCUCCGUUGGAGGUAUGAACUCGUCGAGGAUAGGCAUGUCAUCAUGUAGGUGACCUAGCACCAAACAAGAAAACAUACUCAGAGUAGAGGUUAAGUCGUUAGAAAGCAUAGUGGCCUCACAUGCACUAUCAACUAACUCACUCACUAAGUGUUGUGGCUCACUCACUCCCAGUAAGAUGCUCUCACUCAUAUGGUUGGUGGAGUCACUCAAAUGGCUCUCAACCUCACAUAGGAUGUGUGGCAUGCUCUCAUGUGUGGGGCUAGUAGUGGUCACACUCAUCCUCUCAUAGGAAAUGAUCUCAACGUCAUGUAUGGUGGAAUCACUCAUGCCACUCAUGUGGUAGUGGCUCUCCUCACAUGGAAAUUGGGGCAUCUCGUCAUAUGUGGGUGUCGAAGAGAUGUAGGUGCACAUGUCUCCAUGCUCAAUCAUGUCGUAGUCGUCGCCGUGGAUGAAGGCCGAAGAUGGCACAUCAUCACUCUCCUCUAAGACAAAAGAUAAGGUCUCAUGUGCGGUCUCAUAGAUUGACUCAGAGUAUGAGUACCGUUGGGGCGCUGUGUUCAUGUUGUUGAAGAGGUUAGCGCUCGUCGCCGUGGUCGAAGGGGAUGGCCCUUGGUCGACCUUCUUGUCACCGUCUUGUUGUUUGAGGCCCAUAUGAUGUGGCACCUCAUAGCUCAUCUCCAUGACCGAAGGGAAUGUCCCAUGGUCGGCCAUCUUCCUUGACAGGCUUCCGAAGAUGGAAGUGUCACCCUCGCUUGUAGGUGGUCGCCUCAUUGUUGAAGAUGUCGAUGUAGGCGAACUCGUGCGAAGUAGGCGAAGAUGCCGUAUGUCCAAAGGCGAAGAUGCCUUGAUAGCACUUGGUGAAGAUGCCGAAGUGGUGGUGGUAGUAGCCGUAGCUUCCUCUUGGUGGUGCUUGUCUCGCGGUCUUAUCUUUUGCUCAUGAAGCUUGGACUUGGCGUGUAGUAGGGCUUGUUGGGACUUGUGUCUUUGCGCUUGGCGAGCAUCUUCAUGUUGAUGAUGUCAUUGUCCUGCUUGAGCUUGUAGUAGAUGUCGUUCGUCGUCAUCAUGCAGAUGAUGCUUGGAGGUGACUCGCCUUCAUGACGAUGUGGAUCACGAACAUGAUGGUGGUCGCCAUGGAGAUGUGGACGUGAACGACUUGCGCUUGCAUCAUUUUUGCGCUCCAAAGAUUUGUGACUUGAAUGUCGCCGCCUUGAGGAUGACGAAGGGGAAUAACGGUUGAUCAACAAGGUCUGAAUCUCCUCCAUCUUUGCAUCUUGCUCCUCUUUUUGUGCGGAAAACUUGUUGUCGAAGUAGUCCCUUCUCCUAGCUUCAGAAUGUCAUAAGUUGGUGGUCAUGUUGUCGAUGACUUGCAUUGCUCGUUGUAGUCCGAAGCGGGGAGUUUUCUUGUUGUAGUUGUAUGCGCCAUCCUUGUUGUGCAAGACCGGAGAUGAAAUGCCUUGUCUAUCCAUCACAAGACUCAAGCAAAUAUGAGUGGGAGAAAGAGAAGAACUCAUACCAAAUGUACCUUGACCGAAGUUGAAGAUGGAUCAAUGAUCACUCAAUAAGGUAACAAGGAAAUAGCACAAUUGAUACUGAUCUCAUCAAUUCUCACACCUACACAUGUAAGGAUUAUGGUGGAGCUCGGUGAGGAUAUUGGCACAGAUUUUUUAAUGCAAAAUGUUAGCAAGAGUCAAAAAUGUUGAAAGAGAUUCACAAAUUCACAAGUAAAACAAGUAGACCAAUAGCAAUAUGGGUGGCACACGAAAAUUCGCACACGGAUAGAUAAAUGGGGUCGUGCAACCAAGGAUGAACACAAAAUGUGGAAUCCAUAGAAAAUGCUCUUGUUGCACAACUCUAGAGAGACGCUAGCAUGAUUGCUCAAUAGGCGGAUACGACACUUGUGCACAAACUAUAGGAGACAAAAAUGCAGCUGACUUCUAUCCCAAGUAUGCUAUGUAUAUAUGAUGUUCCCGGUGUUUCUCACACGAUGAUCCAAGAUGAUCAAUAUGGUAGUAUGAUAUAUAAUGUGUCGAUGCUAUGGCACUUGCUUACGAGCUUCUUUUCUCUCUCUUUUUCUUUGCCUAAAAUCUUAUUCUUUUUUUUGAUAUGGCCACAAUGCGAAAUGCAAAAACCAAGAUAGCAAUUGGGUAUAUACGGGAACAAUCUUGUGACACAAGGGAUGAUAUGAUACCAAUAUGAUAUGGUAUGUAUGCAAUGGAUGGUUGAGUCAUUGAUCACUAAUGUGCACAAGUAACGUUGCUGGCAAUACUCAAAUGGCUAGUCUCGAUAUGCAUGUGACGCAAAAUGGGCUAGGGGUUAACAAUGCAAUUGCAAGGGGAAUAUACAAUGGUGUUGUCGAGGUUACCGUCCUUGGAGAUGAUGAGUGGCGGUGUUCUUGAUGUAGAACCGUCCCUAAUUAGCCUAAACAUCUUAGGAAACGGAAAAACCACGAACUCAAAAUUUCCAAAGGCAAAUGUCAAAUGGUGGUAGCGGAAUGCAGUGGUGGUUGCGGAAGUAUCAGUGGGAACCCGGUCAAAAUGGGUUAAUGUAGCGGAAGGGUAUGACGGGCUAUACACGGUGUCAGAUUUGAAAUCACGGUCCCUAAGUAGUCGAAACACCUUAGGAGACACAACUCACAACACAAACAAAAUUGGGUUAUGUUGGGGGUGGUGGAAGUGUAUGGUGGGCAAGCCUAUGCGGAAAUGGUGGUGGUGGUUGGUGAAUAAGGAACCAUCCCUAAGUAGCCGAAACACCUUAGGAGACUCAAGUCACAACUCAAACAACCACCUAUGCAAUGGCGAACAAAAUGGGUUAGGUUGUGAAAGGCUAUGGUGGUUUGGCGGAAGUUAUGGUGGAAGCCCUGGGCAAAGAUGCCAAAGUUACAGAAUUUUGAUGGAGUCAAAUGAUGUGGGUGGUAUUUUUAUGGAAAGGGGGAUAUCAAUAUCUUCAAAAGGAGCUAAAGAACGUCAAAAACGGACUUCGGAUGAAUUAGUUAUGGCCGAAACAAGAAUUCAGCAUAGUCAGUUUCAGGGUUACCCGGACAUCCGGAGUAGGCCCGGAUGAUCCGGGUUCGUCAACCGGAUUUCUGGCGCGUGGGGUGUCCGGACGUCUGAGAGAGGGUCCAGCUGAUCCGGGCUGGUCCGGAUGAUCCGGCAGGUUAAACUGCUCGGGAUUUCCUCUCGGGGACAAACUUUUGGGCAAAAAUUGGAUGAUUUCGGGGCAAAAAUUGAGGAGAUUUUGUGGAUGGAAGGUGGGGAAACUUGUGGAGAUGCUAGAUCCACUCGAAACCAAGCAAAUCCAUGGAUCAAAAUCAACAAAACAUCAUCAAACCAACAAAUCACAAAAAAAUUGGGGCUAUUUUUGGUGGGGAUUUUCGAAUUUAGGAUGAAAUCACACAAAACGAGGCUAGAAAACGGUGGGGGGGGGAGUCCAAAUUCAUGAUAAACGUGGCUCAUGAUACCAAGAUGAUGUAGGGUAGAACCCUAGGGCCCAAUCUUUUAUGAAAUGGAGGGGAUCCCACGAAGAACACGAACAACACGAGGGGAAAGAGAGGAAUCACUCAAAUCAACAAGAAACAAUCACACAUGUGAUAGAUCCUCGAAACACAAAGAGGUACACGAUGCAAAUCCAACAAAGGACGAUACAUAGGUAACCAGUUCUUCUUCGUGAGGAGGUCUUAAGUCCACGAUGGGUCUUCCCGUGAGGGGUCUUGAAUCCAAGAUGGAUCUUCUCCGUAGAGGCCGCGGUCUCUCUCGUAGAUUAGAUCCGCAUGGAUGAGAAAAGCUCUAUCUCAAAUGAGCUAAACCUAUGCUAACCCUAACUAGGAGGAGGAGGGGGUCUAUAUAUAGUGCUAAGCCACGAAGGGGUAAGUGAGAGGCGGAGGGGUACACGGGCCUCGGCCCAAAUCAUGCGCGCAGGCAAAGGCCGGUUGAUCCGGAUGGGGGUCCGGAUGAUCCGGGCAUCGUUCGGAUGAUCCGGGUCCUCGUCUGGAUGAUCCGGCUCCGCCGGGUGGAUUCCGCAAGCUUCGGGUGUCUUGGGGCACAUUACCUGGAUCGUCCGGGUGGGGGUCAGGAUCAUCCGGGCUUGAUCCGAAUCGUCCGGCUAGGGGUCCGGAUCAUCCGGGAAAGCUUUGUCUUGUAUGUUCUUCUUCUUCCUUCUCCUCUUCCAUGCGUGGCCUUUGUCCCUUGAUUCUCCAUGGUCAUCUCUUAUGUGCCUGAGUAUACACAAGGUCCAUGCAUGAGGUAGUAGCCAUGUCUCAUAUGUGGAAAGUGAAGGUUCAAAGAGGAGUGAGUUCACACUACAAAAAAAUACACUUCCAUGAUGAUACAUGUUUGUCACAGUAGGUCCCAUUUUUUGUCAUGCAUGUACAUCCAUGAUGAUUUUAUGACUGAAUCAAGAUAGUCAUACCUGUGCUGUCGUAGAAGUGUUCCAUAACAUUACCAAAAUUAUCAUCACGGAAGUGUCCACUUCCAUGACGAUAAAUCGCGCGUCACAGAAGUGCUUUCGUCAAGGGUGAUCGACACGUGGCAUCCACCGUAACGGAACGCCGUUAAGCUAUCGGGUCGGGUUUUGGAUCCGAUAACCCGUUAACAGCCCAGACCAAUGGGGAUUUUCCACAUGAAUCAUCAUUGGCUGGAGGAAACACGUGUCGGCUCAUCGUUGGGAUGGAUGUCAUCCACUCAUUGGACGGAAGGCGCCUAUGAUACAUCGACACGUGGCACGGUCCAACAGAGGCCCAUUCCUGUGAAAAGGCCGGCCCGUUUGACUUGGUCAAAAGGUGGCGGGCCGGCCCAUGGAAAGCCUGUUAUCGGCCUGUUCGCAUAUAGCCCAUUUACAGCCCCCUAACCCAAGGCCUGUUACGCCCUAUCCAAAUUAGGCCCAGUAGCGUCAUCUGGGCCAUCCAAUAUGAUUCCAGCCCGUUUUCACUUCUGGCGCAUGUAUGGCCCAUGACGUCUUUCGGCCCAUAUGAGGCCCUAUGUAACUCUUGGCCUAUUAACGGCCUGUGGUGAAACUGGCUCGUAAUGAACAGUGUAUCACUUUAUACCCAUUAACGGCCCUUGGUGAAACUGGCCCGUAAUGAACAGUGUAUCACUUUAUACCCAUUAACAGCCCAUUAUUCCGUUGGGCCGUUUCGAGCCCAUGUUAUCUUUCGGCCUUCUGAGAGACCAUUUAUUCUUGGGCUCAUUUGCAGCAUUCGUUUACUUACAGCCCGUUACUGUCAUUUUCUGCUUGUGGGCCAAAUUCAGCCCGUGGUUACAGUCGGCCCGUUUGUGGUCCGUUAAUACGUUGGGCCGUUUUCAUAGCGUCAUCAAAUAUGGCCUAUUAACGAUGGCCCGUUAUGGUCGGCCCAUGAAUGGACGAUUCCAACUCUAGCCCGUUUACGGCCAUAAUGCGGUCUGUUUGGCCCAUGUUUGGCCAAUCGAUCAUACGGCCCGUAUAAGGCCCAUUGAUGAUACGGCCCGUAGAAGGCCCAUUGUUUCUACGGCCUGUAGAAGGCCCACUGUUUCUACGGCCAGUAGGAGGCCCAAUGUCACUACAGUAAAUAUUAGCCCAUGGUUAUUGUGGCCUAGUUUAAAAAAAUAGGUUAUUGCAGCCACUAGCUAACCGCGGAAAAAGAACUGCAAUGACUACAAGCAAACAAAUAAACAAGACAACAAGGAAAUAAAUAAGCAAGCAACUAACGCUAGGUUAUCACGGCUAUUGCACAUAUUACAUCCACCGGGCAUCAAAGUUCGCCACCAGUGCAAAUAUAGGGAACAAAGCAGCAUAUCAUAUACACUAGUUGUCAGAGUUGGCGACCAACGCAAAUAAACGCUGCAGCAAAACAAAUCCAGAACUAAAACCACUUCAGAAGAUCUCAAGAAACAAUAUCCUGGGUACCCAUAAUGUUGGCAAGAUGCUUAGCAUGCUUAUUAACUUUCUCUUGUUUGGCGCUUAAAUCCUCCAGCGCUUGCUAUUGCACCAGAAAAUAUGCAUUUGAAUUCUGCAGGGACUUCCUCAGUCCUUCAGCUUCCCGUCGCAGCACAUCUGAUCGAUGUCUUUCAACUUGAAGUUAGGACUCAAGAAGACGAACUAAUUCAGGCAGCGAGUUCGAAGAGCUUGUGCCAGCAGUAGUGGCCAGUAACUCAAACACUACAUCAAGACAGGACUUUUGGGUUCCCUCAAUGUCAUCAAGAUAGUUUUGAUUAGCUUUCUUGCAGACCAACAGGGAUGUCUCACUAUCUUGAACCUUAUCUGCAUUACUUCCUUUACCAUUGGAUAACGCGGUACUGUUCUCCAAUAUUUUGUCCACAUUCUAAAAGAGAAACAAGCACAAACAUCACAUGUUUACCAUGUUGUAUAUGAAACUCAUUUUGGUAAAUGAGUUCAGUAGUAAAGUGGACAGGAUAACAACAUGAAACAAACAUAUAUCUAUGUACCAUGGUCACUUUAUGGUCUAUAUCAUUCUAGUUUUUGUUGCCAAAUCAAGAUAGAGACAUAGUUCAAAUAAUAUUUGUUCAAGACAAAGCAGAAUAGACAGAAUAUAAGUGUGGGUAACUAUAGAGCAAUAACAACACUUGUAAUGUGCAUGACAUGAGAACAUAACUGUUUAUUCAAUUGAAACGGUAAUCAACAUAGAGCAGGUAACAACAACAAACCAGUUAAAGAAACAGGUUUAAAAUAUACAUGUUGCGCCAUUGGAAUUUCAAUUCCAUCCUUCAAAUUUGAAAAUAGUUGGUAUGAGUAAAUACAGUAAUGCAAGAGCAAAGGUGUAUGAACCAUAGCUAUAGAACCUGACCUGAGAAUAAAUCUUCUUCUCCUUUAAGCGUUGAGUUGGGAUUCGGAGUGGUGGUCCUCGUGCUUUGGGCACUGCAGUUCCCUUACUAAAUGCUCGUGUUUGGGUGGUCUGUGGUGGAGACGGUGCUGUGUCAACUAGAACUGGGUUACUAUCUGCCGGGGUUGGGGUUAGAAGAUGUGUAGCUGAUUCUUUGUCCAACUGGGUAGGGGUACAAUAUGCGAGAGUCUAGGUUAUGUGUGGUGGAUCUGGUCCUUGGGCAAGUAUAACCGUGGUUCUAUCUGCAUCAACUGGUAGCACUACCUUUUCUGAAGACCAUGUUGUUACUCCCUUAGAUACUGCCAUCACGCUCUCCAAUUCAAAUGGCUGAUAAACAAGAAAAGUAAUUGAAAGUAUAGACAUUGUAUGAUAGGCAGGUGCAAUGGAUAGUGGGGAAUAAAAGAGGGCAUGAAAUAAUUCAUAUUUAUGUUGUCUAACCAAACAGGAUAGCAUGACACAAUUUCACAUAUAUGAUGGCUAACUAAACAGGAUAGCAUGACACAAUUUCACAUUAUGAUGGCUAACUAAAAAAGAUAGAAAGACAUAGUUCAAAAUAUGAGGCUAUGUAAACAGGAUGACAUGACAUAACUAUAUAAUGUGUUUAUUAAAUAGGUUGACAUGCCAUAAUUCACAUACAUUCAUGGAUAGAAUGCCAUAAUUCAAAAUAUGAUGACUGUAAACACUAAACAGGAUGAGAUGAUAUAACUAUAUGAUGUCUUUAUUAAAUGGGUUGCCAUGCCAUAAUUCAGAUAGAUGAUGUGUAUGUACUAUGUAAACAUGAUGGCAUGAUAUAAUUCAAAUAUAUGAUUUAUAUAGUAAGCAAGUAAGCAGAUGGAAAUCCAUAUAUGAUGUAAAAACUAAGCAAUGCAAGACAACAUGCAUGACAUGGGUAAUAUAACCCUGCCAUGUUUGAGCAUAGACCUCAGGGGGGAAAUAGGACUGGUCAUCAGUCUCUGAAUCCUCCUCUGAGGAGCUCUUUGUAACCAGCAAGAUGUCUUCUUCAGCAGGUAGCAUUGUCUGCUCUGAAUACCUUGUUUUCACUCUAGAUAGUUCCAUCACCGCUUCAAAUGGCUGAUGCAUAGGAAGAGUAGUUGAAUAUACAAACAUUCUCGACAAAUGGAACAUGUAAUACAAAAAAAUGAUAGCAUGAUAUAAUUCACAUACAUGUUCAUUGGCUAAACAGCAUGGCAUUGCAUAAUUCACAUAUAUAAUGCCUUUGCAACAAGAUAGCAUUGUAUAAUUCACAUAUAUAACGUCUUGCAAUAAGAUGGCAAUGCAUAAUUCACAUAUAUGGUAAUUAGAGACUGAACAGGUGGCAUUCACACAAAGCAUGUCUAAACUAAUCAAAUGACAUAGCAAUGCGAGACACCAUACACACGAUAUGAGCAACAUAACCCUGCCAAGUUAGAGCANNNNNNNNNNNNNNNNNNNNNNNNNNNNNNNNNNNNNNNNNNNNNNNNNNNNNNNNNNNNNNNNNNNNNNNNNNNNNNNNNNNNNNNNNNNNNNNNNNNNNNNNNNNNNNNNNNNNNNNNNNNNNNNNNNNNNNNNNNNNNNNNNNNNNNNNNNNNNNNNNNNNNNNNNNNNNNNNNNNNNNNNNNNNNNNNNNNNNNNNNNNNNNNNNNNNNNNNNNNNNNNNNNNNNNNNNNNNNNNNNNNNNNNNNNNNNNNNNNNNNNNNNNNNNNNNNNNNNNNNNNNNNNNNNNNNNNNNNNNNNNNNNNNNNNNNNNNNNNNNNNNNNNNNNNNNNNNNNCAUCGUGUCAAAUGGCUGAUGCACACGAAGAGCAGUUGAAUGUACUAACAUUGUUGACAAAUGUAGUAUGUAACAAAAAAAAAA